Molecule: ribosomal RNA, 301 nt
Filed under: uncultured bacterium
Lineage: Bacteria
Description: partial 16S ribosomal RNA
Rfam family: Bacterial small subunit ribosomal RNA
Source: RNAcentral
CAGCAGCCGCGGUAAUACAGAGGGUGCGAGCGUUAAUCGGAUUUACUGGGCGUAAAGCGUGCGUAGGCGGCUUUUUAAGUCGGAUGUGAAAUCCCUGAGCUUAACUUAGGAAUUGCAUUCGAUACUGGGAAGCUAGAGUAUGGGAGAGGAUGGUAGAAUUCCAGGUGUAGCGGUGAAAUGCGUAGAGAUCUGGAGGAAUACCGAUGGCGAAGGCAGCCAUCUGGCCUAAUACUGACGAUGAGGUACGAAAGCAUGGGGAGCAAACAGGAUUAGAUACCCCGGUAGUCCCUGUCUCUUAUAU